GACGUAGGGGGCGAGCGUUAUUCGGAAUUAUUGGGCGUAAAGCGCUCGUAGGCGGGACCGAAAGUCGGUGAGGAAAGACCUGGGCUCAACUCAGGGAACUGCAUCGAUGCUUCGGUUCUUGAGGUAAUCAGAGGGUGAUGGAAUUCUCGGUGUAGCGGUGAAAUGCGUAGAUAUCGGGAGGAACACCGGCGGCGAAGGCGGCCCUCUGGAUCGUUGCUGACGCUGAGACGCGAAAGCGUGGGGAGCAAACAGG
RNAcentral lists this ribosomal RNA (253 nucleotides) under uncultured prokaryote. RNAcentral describes it as "partial 16S ribosomal RNA". It matches the Rfam family "Bacterial small subunit ribosomal RNA", at positions 524 to 776 of the family's 1533-position model. The record is from RNAcentral.